CCAGGCCUUCUGCUGAGACCAGGCAGACAGGGAAGAGACAGAAGGAGAAACUGCCAGGGCCCCAGCUGUACACGGAAGCUUUUCUGAAGUAGCUGGAGCUGAGAAGAAGGGUAGUUGAGAAGCUCUGAAGACCUUUGGUUACGUGACGGAUGAAAAUAAUUAGACUCAAAGAAUUCCGUUUUCAGAAAUGAGAAGAAUGCGAAGAGCAGUUCACCUUUCUGGAAGUCUCUUCUGAGAACCGCCGUCCACGUGCCGUCUUGGAUUCAUAAGGAAAGGACUGCAUUGGGCGGCUGCAGUGAGUUCUCAUACGCUCGUGAUGCCACAGCAGGACCUGCUGGGAUUAGGGUGAAAAGGCCCUGAAAAGCCUUUGUUACUUGCCUAUUUAUAAAGGACUGGCUUUAUAACUUGUUAAUAAGUCACAUCCCGCUUGUCCUGGCGCUUUUAUCAAGGGCGUUUAUCUCUGCUUAUAUUCAUUUGUGUCGCUGGAUAAUUGUUGAGCUUGACUCAUCAGGGCCUAUGGGUUCAUGGGUAAUUAGGGCCUGGACGAUAGGUCCCUCAAGCCACUUAGCUACGGAAGCCUUGUGGCUGCAGACGGAUAAUAGAAUCUCUUUGUUUUUACAAAAUGGUCAUAAAUCAUUUGACUCUGUACGAAGCCUUCAAUCAGUAGCCCCCCACCCACGCACCUAGCAGAGCAGUUGGGAGUUUUACUACUUACAGAGAGGAAAGGUCCUUCCAGAAUGUUAGAACAAAGGCGAGAUGUCACUUCCGACCCUAAAUGCACAUGUAGAUUUCACUGGGAAGACUCCUCCCUCCCCGUGUGGUUUCCGUUCUCUUGCUGGUUCGGGGUCCACACAAGCUCUUCCCAGCAGGGAGACGCGGUAGCAGGGGGCCCAGCUCCAUCUGGAGGGACGGGCAGGGCACGCAGCUGGAGUGGACAAGAUUUUAAAAAUACAAGUUUCAGCGUUCAUAAAUUCUCUCCUCUGCUGAUAAGUACUUUUGAAAAUGUAAACCGCAGACGCAUUCUUUUAGGACAUUUUCCAGCAGGUACUCACUGUAUAAAGUCUUCUUGACUGCCCCUGGCCCCCUUUGAAGCCCAAGGCUGAUUUCCAACAUCUACAGUCUCUACAGGACCCUAUAAUUACCGAGGCAAUGAGCGUCAGUCCCCGGUGGUCUGCGGAAUCCAGCCCUCUCAGGCAAGGAAAGGCAUCCCUUUGCUAAUUGGAUCCUGGUUUUUUCCUCCUUUAAAAUCAGCACGUGCGAUAUGAUGGGUCACACGUGUGAUGAUGUGACGUGAUCACAUGAGGGGUAAUGAGAAAGCAGUUCUGCUCUAAGACGAUGUGUCACUUCAUCUCCUCCACCCCCUCCCCCAUCACAUUGUUGAAAAUGACAGCAAUGAGAAUGAUUACAACAGCAAUGAAGACAGCCAGCAUUUGUUAAACCUUGAUUGUGUAUCAGACACCCUGCCGAGUGUACAGCCUUCAUUGUCUCCUCUAAUCCUCAGGACGACCUACGAGCCAGGCACCAUUAGUAUGUUUACCCUAUUUUACAGAUGGCCCUGGAGCGGCUAAGAUACUUGACUUUGGGGUCAAGCAUUGAACCCGUUCUUCUCUUGCUUUUAAAAUGUAUUCAUCUGUUCUUUUAACAAAGAUGUAUUGAGCACCUUCUGUGUCCCAGGCCCUGUUUUAGCCUUAAUACGCUCUUGGGAAAGAUGUAAUGAGCUCAGCAAACCCCUUUGUUGUUAGAGAAGAAAGGCGGUUUUGUAAGAGCGGUGGAAUUCAGAGGAAAACGAGGGAACUAACCUCAACGUUUACUGCCUUCCUACUUCUGCCGCAAGCGACAGUACUAAGAGCCUCAUCUCACAGGUGUGUGUCUGUCAUCCUCACCUUUUCACCUGGGUGGGGAGACUGUUAUCUGGGGAAUGUGAAACGCUCUUCCUCCCGGCUUUCUGCGAAGUCUGCUGGGGAGUUUAGGGCCCAGAAAGGUCGGGGGAGUGUCCAGGUCUGAGAAAACUCACUGAUGAACUUAGUAUCCUGGUAUCUCUGUCUGAAAGGACCCCAGAGGCCCUUGCGUCCAGCCCUUAAACCAGGCAAGAUCCCCCCUUGAUAAGGGGUCAGAGCACCUCCGUUUGCAUACUUUCUGGGGAGCUCUCCCUCAUGAGGCAGCCCAUUCCGGCACUGAAGGCUGUUCUUCAUCCUACUGAGCUGACACCUUUCUCCUCAUCACCUGCGCUCGCUGGUCCCAGCUCUGCGCUCUGAUGGCGUGCCCAGCUCGCUGGUCCCAGCUCUGCGCUCUGAUGGCGUGCCCAGCUCAUCUAGCUCCUGCCUCACAGGAAUGUAGUGCCCUUAAGUGUCUAACCUCAGAGAUCUCAUCCCCACUAAGACCUUCUUGCCGCCUCAGCCUUCUCUUAUGCGCUAUGAUUCCUAAAGCCUUCAGCCUCUUAGCCGGAACGAGAGAAAUUGGAAAUAAAUGGGCUGAACUAACUCAAGGCUCCCUGGGAAGAACUAUUAAUCAACACACACUUAAGUGACAAGAGGCAGUGAAGGAGGUGCAGGGGGGGCAGCCCCUCUGGCCAUGAAAACAAGGACAAAGGGUCUUCAGAGUCAAGAGGUCUCUGAGGUCAGGGCUCAUCUGGCUGGUACUUGAGCCCCUGAAUAAUGCGUAGGGCACUCAAAGUCGUUUCUAGAAGGCCAGGCUACAGAGUCUGAUCUACUAGGAUUGGGAAGCAAACCUAAUGUUUCUAAGAGCAUCCUUGCUCCUGAAGUUUAUGCAGCUGUCUCUGGGGGAGUUUUAUUUACAGGAGGAAGGGGACGACGGGUGGAGUUAAAGCUACGGAUGCGCUAAACCCUCUUGGAAACGACAGCUACUGUGAACCCCAGUUCCUUCACCCGCAUAAACAUGUUCCCGAUCUUUUGUAAAGAACUGAAAUUGAGAAAAGGCCACCCGGGGCACCAUAAUAACGCCCACUCCACCCAAUGACGUCAUGGACUCUAAGAAAAUGGAAUGAAAUUAAUUGACGUUUCUGGCCCUACCUUACCUGUGCCAUGUGCUGUGAUGGAGGGACAUGUGUCAGCUCGUCUGCCUGUGGUCAGUGCCACGGGGACCCUCUCGGGAUGGUGACGGUAGGUGGCUGAGUCCCGACCCUCAGAGAAGGGCUCAGAGUGGCCAUCAGUCUUCGGAGGAGCACCUUGCAGUGAUUCUGUGCAGACGGAAGGAAGUUAUGUACGAGAAUCAUCAAGAAACCCACGUCAGGAACCUUCUACCGGGGCUGAAGUGAGAGAGUCAUGUCUUCAGGCCGGCAGCAGUGGGAUAAAGCUGUGAACCAGUCCUUAGUCUUAGACCCCAUCUGUCCACAGCAGAGAGCGCAAGAGUGACACGGGGGGGCUGUAAGGCAUGUACAGGAAGGUUUGGGUCUCAAGCAAAGUGGGUCCUACGCUCUGCUCUCCCCAGGCCUACGGAAGGGGAAUGACAGAUCUCGGGGAGUCAGUUGGCAGAGGGGUCCUGGGUCUCAACCUCUCCUGGACCCAGCUCUGGGAAAGGGACGAGAUCCCCAAGUGGAAUGAGCCCUAUGAGAGCCUCCCAGGAUGCCCACGCAGGUCGUGGAAGAAGCUGGAAGAGACCUGGGCCUGAAGAGGUGGCAGCUACCUGUGCGCUGAGACCACACCUGGAUCUCUGGGGUUGUGGACCAGCCCCGUCCCCAGCACCUUGGCUGUGUGGAGGUCAACCCUCCUCCAACAAGGAAAGGAGCCAAAUGACCUCAGUUGCCUCAGCCUCUCCGCAGAGUGGCUGUGACCCGAGGCUGUCGCUGCUGUGCUCACUGCUUUGGUGUCUGAGCCUGAAUUGGAACAAAGGGACAGAUCACUCCCGUGGUCUCCCACGGUCCUGGCCUGAGCCUGCGGUGCUUUUAUGAAGAUGCCCUAAGUCUUUCUCCAAGGCUUCUGGGAAACAAGCCUUACGGAUGUGGCCGAUUGCCAGGCCUGUUCUCUGUCCAUCUAAAUUAUGAUGGCAGAGAAGAUAAAAAUACAAAGACCAAAAAGUCAUUUUUCUCCCCCCAAAACACCACAAUUCUUUGAGCCUUU
This is a long non-coding RNA of Lagenorhynchus albirostris (white-beaked dolphin), 4076 nucleotides long. RefSeq lists it as uncharacterized. Lineage: Eukaryota; Metazoa; Chordata; Mammalia; Artiodactyla; Delphinidae. The record is from RefSeq and is a predicted model, not a curated record. The transcript has 7 exons.